Micropterus dolomieu (smallmouth bass) is the source of this 577-nucleotide long non-coding RNA. RefSeq lists it as uncharacterized. NCBI's taxonomy places the organism in Eukaryota, Metazoa, Chordata, Actinopteri, Centrarchiformes, Centrarchidae. The transcript has 2 exons. The record is from RefSeq and is a predicted model, not a curated record.
CCGGGUAGGUAGGGGCCCCGCUACGUGGCCCGCCAAUGUGUUGUCAAUUGCUUGCAGAAACGAAUGCACAAAAGAAUUGCACGCAGAGAGGAGCGGAGAGACGCUUCCGGUGCGAGCACAAGCAUCGACUAGAGUGGCUGCGAUCGGCUUCGGCAGCUGCGACGCAGACGGACUCGGUGGACUUUCGGAGUAAAUCCGGGGUGAUGUAAACUUGGCAGCAGGUGGGCCCCGUGAUGAAGCUCCGCCCCCAGUGUGCUGAGAGUCUAGCUCCGCCCCCGCAUGACAUGAAGUAGAUUUAGAACAUUUUGUCUGUUUCGUUGUUAAACUUUUUAUUUUUGAGUUCCACUUUACUGCCCUCUUUUUCAGUGAGCGAUAUCGUAAUUUAGAAUUGAGACUCAUGUUUGAUGACGUCAGUUUCAUCAUGUCUCGUCUUUGUCGCGCGAACAAAACUUUGUUGAUGAACACACUUUGUCAGAAUCAUCUGUGACAAAUCUGAUGACUUGUCUCUGACCUCCUGUCGGCGUGAAGCUCAGUCCGCUGCAGCCGAGUCUCUCUGGGUAAACAACCAGAAUGUAAA